ACCCGAUGCCAGGUCCAGUGGACAGACUUCAGACGUCUCUGUGUGUCCGGUCCUGUCCGGUCCUGUCUCUGGUUGCCAGGUUACAGACGCUGCUGCACCCGCACGUUUAAAAAUGUCUACACCUGAAACUCCACCACGUCUAAAGAAGCAAAAACGUUUGCAAAUGUACAGACUGGAGUGGGAAGAGUGGAACCCCUGGCAAUGGGUACAAGACAAACUGUGUUUUCUGUUGCUCAUGGACUGGCUGAAGUAAGGCAGCAUCAGGAGACAAACAUGGAGGAAAUAUGAGAACAGAGAGAACCCAACCAGCAGGUCACAGUUUAUCAUCAUCUAAUCAUCUCCUGAAGUCGAAAUGGUCCCUCUCUAUCUCCCCACACAUCCACCAACCACUGGAACACAUCUCCAAAGUUCUGCCAGGCCAGCUCAGCUUCCCCUCAGAAGAAGUGCUGCCACCUGCCAGAUGAAGGAGCCUUUUGAGAGGCAGCAGACAUCGUGAUUGGACUGUACUUUGGUCUGUUCCAAUCCAGCUUCAGCUCCAGAGACGGCAGGCGGGACGAGUCAACGGAGGCCGGGUGGACGAAGGCAUGCAGCUGAGUACAAUACAGAAAACAACAGAGGAGGAGUGCAGUGGCUCAGGGCCAGAACAAACACAGUAGCAUCGUAUGUCUCUUAGAAAACAUCAUAGUAUAGCCUUUGGUAUGAAAAAACGCCAUCAUAUACAUCGUAUAUUGUACAAAUAACAAGUCAAAGGAAAGAGACAUACAUUGUAGAAUUGUAGUAAUUGUGGGCCGAAUGAUUUACUGAUUAUCAGUAUUUGAUUUUUUACUGAUUUACGGGAAUAAAUAAAUUUUAAAAUGGCGCUACUUUGGCUCUGAACCUUAAUCUACCUGUGGUCGCUCUGUCUUCUGGAGUGAUUUGAUUGGUUAUACGUCACGAAUAAAACUCCUUUAAC
Long non-coding RNA from Amphiprion ocellaris (clown anemonefish), 952 nucleotides. NCBI's taxonomy places the organism in Eukaryota, Metazoa, Chordata, Actinopteri, Pomacentridae. The record is from Ensembl.